RNAcentral lists this microRNA precursor (61 nucleotides) under Limulus polyphemus (Atlantic horseshoe crab). RNAcentral's name for it is "Lpo-Mir-87-P1e_pre stem-loop". The record is from RNAcentral. Lineage: Eukaryota; Metazoa; Arthropoda; Merostomata; Xiphosura; Limulidae.
GUGCCCGAAACUUUGACUCAACCUGUGUACGUUUAACAGGUGAGCAAAGUUUCAGGUGUGU